GUGCUCACUUCGGCAGCACAUAUACUAAGAUCGGAACAGUACAAAGAAGAUUAGCAUGGCCCCUGAGCAAGGACGACAUGCAAAUUCGUGAAUCGUUUAAAAAAAAA
Molecule: small nuclear RNA, 107 nt
Organism: Pelobates fuscus (common spadefoot toad)
Lineage: Eukaryota; Metazoa; Chordata; Amphibia; Anura; Pelobatidae
Source: RefSeq, a predicted model, not a curated record